UUGUCCUACGGGGCGCAGCAGUGAGGAAUAUUGGUCAAUGGCCGGAAGGCUGAACCAGCCAAGCCGCGUGAGGGAGGAAGGCGCAGAGCGUCGCAGACCUCUUUUGCCGGGGGACAAAAGGCCGGACUCGUCCGGUCCUGAGGGUACCCGGAGAAAAAGCAUCGGCUAACUCCGUGCCAGCAGCCGCGGUAAUACGGAGGAUGCGAGCGUUAUCCGGAUUUAUUGGGUUUAAAGGGUGCGUAGGCGGAAUGCCAAGUCAGCGGUAAAAUCGCGGGGCUCAACCUCGCUCCGCCGUUGAAACUGGC
This 305-nucleotide ribosomal RNA is filed under the name uncultured bacterium. Its description in RNAcentral is "bacterial SSU rRNA". It matches the Rfam family "Bacterial small subunit ribosomal RNA", at positions 334 to 637 of the family's 1533-position model. The record is from RNAcentral.